This 360-nucleotide ribosomal RNA is filed under the name uncultured eukaryote. RNAcentral's name for it is "partial 18S ribosomal RNA". It matches the Rfam family "Eukaryotic small subunit ribosomal RNA", at positions 592 to 976 of the family's 1831-position model. The record is from RNAcentral.
CAAUAGCAUAUAUUAACGUUGUUGCAGUUGAAAAGCUCGUAGUUGAACUUUUGGUAGGAGCGACCUGGCCUUGGGCGCAUGCCCUUGUUUGCCGUGUGUCGUAUCUGGCCAUCCUUUUCCGCUUCGGCGGGAAUCCUUUACUGUGAGUAAACUGGAGUGCUCAAAACAAGACGUUUGUUUGGUACAUUAAAGCGUGGAAUAAUAAGAUAGGACCUGGUUACUAUUUUGUUGGUUUGCAUAGCUUGGUAAUGAUUAACAGGGACAGUUGGGGGUAUUCGUAUUUAAUUGUCAGAGGUGAAAUUCUUGGAUUUAUGAAAGACGAACGACUGCGAAAGCAUUUACCAAGGAUGUUUUCAUUAA